This 253-nucleotide ribosomal RNA is filed under the name uncultured bacterium. RNAcentral describes it as "partial 16S ribosomal RNA". It matches the Rfam family "Bacterial small subunit ribosomal RNA", at positions 524 to 776 of the family's 1533-position model. The record is from RNAcentral.
UACGUAGGGGGCUAGCGUUGUCCGGAAUCAUUGGGCGUAAAGAGCGUGUAGGCGGUCCGGUAAGUCCGCUGUGAAAGUCGGGGGCUCAACCCUCGAAUGCCGGUGGAUACUGUCGGGCUAGAGUGCGGAAGAGGCUAGUGGAAUUCCUGGUGUAGCGGUGAAAUGCGCAGAUAUCAGGAGGAACACCUAUUGCGAAGGCAGCUCGCUGGGACGUAACUGACGCUGAGACGCGAAAGCGUGGGGAGCAAACAGG